Molecule: unclassified non-coding RNA, 21 nt
Filed under: Dictyostelium discoideum
Lineage: Eukaryota; Evosea; Eumycetozoa; Dictyosteliales; Dictyosteliaceae
Source: RNAcentral
GAAUAAUCCCAAUACUAACGA